AUUGAACGCUGGCGGCAGGCCUAACACAUGCAAGUCGAGCGGAUGAAGGGAGCUUGCUCCUGGAUUCAGCGGCGGACGGGUGAGUAAUGCCUAGGAAUCUGCCUGGUAGUGGGGGAUAGCGUCCGGAAACGGGCGCUAAUACCGCAUACGUCCUGAGGGAGAAAGUGGGGGAUCUUCGGACCUCACGCUAUCAGAUGAGCCUAGGUCGGAUUAGCUAGUUGGCGGGGUAAAGGCCUACCAAGGCGACGAUCCGUAACUGGUCUGAGAGGAUGAUCAGUCACACUGGAACUGAGACACGGUCCAGACUCCUACGGGAGGCAGCAGUGGGGAAUAUUGGACAAUGGGCGAAAGCCUGAUCCAGCCAUGCCGCGUGUGUGAAGAAGGUCUUCGGAUUGUAAAGCACUUUAAGUUGGGAGGAAGGGCAGUAAGUUAAUACCUUGCUGUUUUGACGUUACCAACAGAAUAAGCACCGGCUAACUUCGUG
Molecule: ribosomal RNA, 484 nt
Filed under: uncultured bacterium
Lineage: Bacteria
Description: partial 16S ribosomal RNA
Rfam family: Bacterial small subunit ribosomal RNA
Source: RNAcentral